UACGGAGGGUGCAAGCGUUAUCCGGAUUCACUGGGCUUAAAGGGUGCGUAGGUGGGUCUGUAAGUCCGUGGUGAAAUCUCUAGGCUUAACCUGGAAACUGCCAUGGAUACUAUAGGUCUUGAAUACUGUGGAGGUCAGCGGAAUAUGUCAUGUAGCGGUGAAAUGCUUAGAUAUGACAUAGAACACCAAUUGCGAAGGCAGCUGGCUACACAAAUAUUGACACUGAGGCACGAAAGCGUGGGGAUCAAACAGG
Molecule: ribosomal RNA, 253 nt
Filed under: uncultured bacterium
Lineage: Bacteria
Description: partial 16S ribosomal RNA
Rfam family: Bacterial small subunit ribosomal RNA
Source: RNAcentral